Molecule: ribosomal RNA, 468 nt
Filed under: uncultured bacterium
Lineage: Bacteria
Description: partial 16S ribosomal RNA
Rfam family: Bacterial small subunit ribosomal RNA
Source: RNAcentral
GACGAACGCUGGCGGCGUGCUUAACACAUGCAAGUCGAACGGAAAGGCCCUGCUUUUGUGGGGUGCUCGAGUGGCGAACGGGUGAGUAACACGUGAGUAACCUGCCCUUGACUUUGGGAUAACUUCAGGAAACUGGGGCUAAUACCGGAUAGGAGCUCCUGCUGCAUGGUGGGGGUUGGAAGGUUUCGGCGGUUGGGGAUGGACUCGCGGCUUAUCAGCUUGUUGGUGGGGUAGUGGCUUACCAAGGCUUUGACGGGUAGCCGGCCUGAGAGGGUGACCGGCCGCAUUGGGACUGAGAUACGGCCCAGACUCCUAAGGGAGGCAGCAGUGGGGAAUAUUGCACAAUGGGCGGAAGCCUGAUGCAGCAACGCCGCGUGCGGGAUGACGGCCUUCGGGUUGUAAACCGCUUUCGCCUGUGACGAAGCGUGAGUGACGGUAAUGGGUAAAGAAGCACCGGCUAACUACGUG